AGCAGCCGCGGUAAUUCCAGCUCCAAUAGCGUAUAUUAAAGUUGUUGCAGUUAAAAAGCUCGUAGUUGAACUUCGGGGUUUACCCAUUGGUCAGGCUUAAUUGUCUGUACUGGUGAGAUAAAUCUCUACCUUCUGAGGAACUUUCAUGUCAUUAAUUUGGUGUGAUUGGAAAUCAGGACUGUUACUUUGAAAAAAUUAGAGUGUUUAAAGCAGGCUAACGUCUGAAUACAUUAGCAUGGAAUAAUGAAAUAGGACGGAUUGAUUCUAUUUCGUUGGUUUCUAGGGUCACCGUAAUGAUUAAUAGGGAUAGUUGGGGGCAUUAGUAUUCAAUUGUCAGAGGUGAAAUUCUUGGAUUUAUUGAAGACUAACUACUGCAAAAGCAUUUGCCAAGGAUGUUUUCAUUAAUCAAGAACGAAAGUUAGGGGAUCGAAGACGAUCAGAUACCGUCGUAGUCUUAACCAUAAACUAUGCUGACUAGGGAUCGGACGAAGUUAAUUUUAUAAUGACGCGUUCGGCACCUUAC
RNAcentral lists this ribosomal RNA (523 nucleotides) under uncultured Diversispora. RNAcentral describes it as "SSU rRNA". It matches the Rfam family "Eukaryotic small subunit ribosomal RNA", at positions 569 to 1091 of the family's 1831-position model. Lineage: Eukaryota; Fungi; Glomeromycota; Glomeromycetes; Diversisporales; Diversisporaceae. The record is from RNAcentral.